AUCUAGGUAGCUUAACUAAAGCAUCGGUCUUGUAAGCCGAAGACUGGGGUAUAGCCGCCCCCCUAAAUA
Molecule: transfer RNA, 69 nt
Filed under: Pseudohynobius puxiongensis (Puxiong's protohynobiid)
Lineage: Eukaryota; Metazoa; Chordata; Amphibia; Caudata; Hynobiidae
Description: tRNA-Thr
Rfam family: tRNA
About the family: Transfer RNA (tRNA) molecules are approximately 80 nucleotides in length. Their secondary structure includes four short double-helical elements and three loops (D, anti-codon, and T loops).
Source: RNAcentral